UAAUAAGUGUUUAUGGCACUUCUUAAAUCCAUAUCCACCUUGUGUGCAAUGUCAGUCCGUUUUCUUUCGUCAGAAAAAGGAUCGACCAAACAUCAACUUAUUCUAUUGAACUGUCUGUCUGAAAACUAUUAUGAAUAAACUAAUUCAAAUA
Molecule: unclassified non-coding RNA, 151 nt
Filed under: soil metagenome
Description: partial internal transcribed spacer 1
Source: RNAcentral